Molecule: ribosomal RNA, 250 nt
Filed under: uncultured Eubacteriales bacterium
Lineage: Bacteria; Bacillati; Bacillota; Clostridia; Eubacteriales
Description: uncultured Clostridiales bacterium partial 16S ribosomal RNA
Rfam family: Bacterial small subunit ribosomal RNA
Source: RNAcentral
AAAGUGGAUUAGUGGCGGACGGGUGAGUAACACGUGAGUAACCUGCCUUAGACAUUGGGAUAGCCUCGGGAAACCGGGAUUAAUACCAAAUAAAAUCAUAAUGACACAUGUCAUAACGAUCAAAACUCCGGUGGUCUAAGAUGGACUCGCGUCCCAUUAGCUAGUUGGUAGAGUAAAAGCCUACCAAGGCGACGAUGGGUAGCCGGCCUGAGAGGGUGAACGGCCACAUUGGAACUGAGAAACGGUCCAA